UUAAAUGCAGAGAAAGGGAAGAGUACUUUGAAACUCGCCUCCAGAGAGGGAAAUCACCUGCUGAAAGAUUUCCCAGGCCAAGACAAAGGAAUGUCGCCCUUGAGCAGUUUCCGUGAAAAUCAGCAGUAGCGGAAGCCGGUUUAAAGCCGUUAUCUCAACGAAGUGCCAGGCAUGUUUUUCUGCCUGUGUAAAAAGGUGGUACCGCGAAUCAGCUCCCUCGUCCUUUUA
RNAcentral lists this non-coding RNA (228 nucleotides) under Bacillus sp. (in: firmicutes). RNAcentral's name for it is "Bacillus sp. T-box sequence". It matches the Rfam family "T-box leader". From Rfam's summary of the family: Uncharged tRNA acts as the effector for transcription antitermination of genes in the T-box leader family. Lineage: Bacteria; Bacillati; Bacillota; Bacilli; Caryophanales; Bacillaceae. The record is from RNAcentral.